AUGUUACCUGUAGCAUCUCUGCGGCUCCCACGACAGCUCCGCUCAGAAACAAAGACAUAAUCAUUUUAAAAAAACUCCCACAGUUUCCUAUUCUCAGCCCAGACAUCGGGGAACUAUUUUAGGGCACAAUUGUCCCACACUGACCCUACCUCUGCCCUGCGUCACCACCAAAAGAGUCCGACCUCCACGUGCUCACGGACGGGUUGACCCAGACUGGGACAAAAUUCAACUCAACAACACUUUCAAAGAGCCUGAGGUGGUUUGAUGUCGAGAGGGGUCCAGCUGCAGACCUCCACUCUCAUUCAGCUUAACGGCUCCUCCAACGUGAAGCAGAAGCCACCUCCAUCGUAGGACUGAAGUGACGCAAAUCUAAUCCUCUCAGCCGUCUGACAGGCUCCUCCACCUCCAGCUCCUCCUCCUCUAUCGUCAGACAUACGUCUUCAGGCUGAUGUAAUGCUGGCUGCCCAGAAUCUCUGCUGCUGUCGAUGAACACAGGAGUGACCCCACCAGUUCAAACUUUGCAUCUUUGGCCUCCUUGGUCUGACCCGUG
Molecule: long non-coding RNA, 550 nt
Organism: Cheilinus undulatus (humphead wrasse)
Lineage: Eukaryota; Metazoa; Chordata; Actinopteri; Labriformes; Labridae
Exons: 3
Source: RefSeq, a predicted model, not a curated record